CAAGUCGAGCGAACAGACGAGGAGCUUGCUCCUCUGACGUUAGCGGCGGACGGGUGAGUAACACGUGGAUAACCUACCUAUAAGACUGGGAUAACUUCGGGAAACCGGAGCUAAUACCGGAUAAUAUAUUGAACCGCACGGUUCAAUAGUGAAAGACGGUUUUGCUGUCACUUAUAGAUGGAUCCGCGUCGCAUUAGCUAGUUGGUAAGGUAACGGCUUACCAAGGCAACGAUGCGUAGCCGACCUGAGAGGGUGAUCGGCCACACUGGAACUGAGACACGGUCCAGACUCCUACGGGAGGCAGCAGUAGGGAAUCUUCCGCAAUGGGCGAAAGCCUGACGGAGCAACGCCGCGUGAGUGAUGAAGGUCUUCGGAUCGUAAAACUCUGUUAUUAGGGAAGAACAAAUGUGUAAGUAACUAUGCACGUCUUGACGGUACCUAAUCAGAAAGCCACGGCUAACUACGUGCCAGCAGCCGCGGUAAUACGUAGGUGGCAAGCGUUAUCCGGAAUUAUUGGGCGUAAAGCGCGCGUAGGCGGUUUUUUAAGUCUGAUGUGAAAGCCCACGGCUCAACCGUGGAGGGUCAUUGGAAACUGAAAAACUUGAGUGCAGAAGAGGAAAGUGGAAUUCCAUGUGUAGCGGUGAAAUGCGCAGAGAUAUGGAGGAACACCAGUGGCGAAGGCGACUUUCUGGUCUGUAACUGACGCUGAUGUGCGAAAGCGUGGGGAUC
This 729-nucleotide ribosomal RNA is filed under the name uncultured Staphylococcus sp. RNAcentral's name for it is "bacterial SSU rRNA". It matches the Rfam family "Bacterial small subunit ribosomal RNA", at positions 58 to 769 of the family's 1533-position model. The record is from RNAcentral. Lineage: Bacteria; Bacillati; Bacillota; Bacilli; Caryophanales; Staphylococcaceae.